Molecule: ribosomal RNA, 602 nt
Filed under: uncultured bacterium
Lineage: Bacteria
Description: bacterial SSU rRNA
Rfam family: Bacterial small subunit ribosomal RNA
Source: RNAcentral
GCAUGCAAGUCGUACGGGAUUUUCUAGGUAGUAAUACUUGGAAAGUUUAGUGGCGAACGGGUGAGUAAUGCAUGGGUAACGUACCCCGGACACUGGGAUAGCGGCGGGCUUCGGCCCUUUAGCGAAAGUGCCGGUAACACCUGAUGACGUUCGAGAAUUUCAUGGUUUUCGGAUCAAAAGUGGGGACCCCUCGGGGCCUACUGGUCUGGGAGCGGCCCAUGUCCUAUCAGCUUGUUGGUGGGGUAAUGGCCUACCAAGGCGGUGACGGGUAGCCGGCGUGAGAGCGCGACCGGCCACAUCGGGACUGAGACACUGCCCGGACACCUACGGGUGGCUGCAGCAACGAAUAUUCCGCAAUGGACGCAAGUCUGACGGAGCGACGCCCGCGUGAAGGAUGAAGUCCCUCGGGAUGUAAACUUCAAUAGUUUGUCAGGAAGAGAUGGGGCCUAAUAUGCCCCUGAUUUGACCACCAAACGAAAGGGGUGGCUAACUCCGUGCCAGCAAGCCCGCGGUAAUACGGAGACCCCUAGCGUUGUUCGGAAUUACUGGGCUUAAAGCGGGUGUAGGCGGAACGGUAAGGAUCUUGUGAAAGCCCCGGGCUC